This 404-nucleotide ribosomal RNA is filed under the name uncultured bacterium. Its description in RNAcentral is "bacterial SSU rRNA". It matches the Rfam family "Bacterial small subunit ribosomal RNA", at positions 355 to 759 of the family's 1533-position model. The record is from RNAcentral.
UGAGGAAUAUUGCACAAUGGGCGCAAGCCUGAUGCAGCGACGCCGCGUGUGGGAUGAAGGGGCUACGCCUCGUAAACCACUGUAGCCCGGGACGAAAAACGCCUUAGAGGCGUUAGACGGUACCGGGAAAGUAAGGGUCGGCUAACUACGUGCCAGCAGCCGCGGUAAUACGUAGGACCCAAGCGUUGUCCGGAUUUACUGGGGGUAAAGGGUGAGCAGGCGGAUGGGUAAGUCAGGGGUGAAAGUCUGCAGCUUAACUGUAGAAUUGCCUUUGAUACUGCUCAUCUUGAGUGUGGGAGAGUUUGAUGGAAUGCCAGGUGUGUCAGUGAAAUGCGUAGAUAUCUGGAAGAACACUAGUGGCGAAGGCGGUCAACUGGCCCAUAACUGACGCUCAUGCACGAAAG